UCAACCUUCAGUUGGCCACCCUGAAAGUAAGGCUUAUAUUGUCCUGUAUGCGUUUGUGGUUUGCAGUUGCUGCAACCAUGCUGGAUGCCGUUCGUGUUCGUGUGUGCAAACAAAGUGUGUUUGUAAAUCACAUUGUCCGUUCUUUGUAUUUAGCUCCCGUAUGAAAUAAACUGUAGCCGUAACGGGCAACCGCACCGUCACACACAGAAAACCCUGGUUG
This is a long non-coding RNA of Alosa sapidissima (American shad), 220 nucleotides long. RefSeq lists it as uncharacterized. The transcript has 3 exons. The record is from RefSeq and is a predicted model, not a curated record. NCBI's taxonomy places the organism in Eukaryota, Metazoa, Chordata, Actinopteri, Clupeiformes, Clupeidae.